GUGAGGAAUAUUGGUCAAUGGGCGAGAGCCUGAACCAGCCAAGUCGCGUGAAGGAAGAAGGUACUUAGUAUUGUAAACUUCUUUUGCCGGGGAACAAAAGUCAUCACGUGUGGUGAAAUGAGUGUACCCGGAGAAAAAGCAUCGGCUAACUCCGUGCCAGCAGCCGCGGUAAUACGGAGGAUGCGAGCGUUAUCCGGAUUUAUUGGGUUUAAAGGGUGCGCAGGCGGACUGUCAAGUCAGCGGUAAAAUGUCGGGGCUCAACCCCGGCCGGCCGUUGAAACUGGUGGUCUGGAGUUGGAGAGAAGUAUGCGGAAUUCGUGGUGUAGCGGUGAAAUGCAUAGAUAUCACGAAGAACUCCGAUUGCGAAGGCAGCAUACCGGCUCCAUACUGACGCUGAGGCACGAAAGCGUGGGGAUCGAACAGG
RNAcentral lists this ribosomal RNA (424 nucleotides) under uncultured bacterium. RNAcentral's name for it is "bacterial SSU rRNA". It matches the Rfam family "Bacterial small subunit ribosomal RNA", at positions 354 to 776 of the family's 1533-position model. The record is from RNAcentral.